Molecule: long non-coding RNA, 1571 nt
Organism: Anastrepha ludens (Mexican fruit fly)
Lineage: Eukaryota; Metazoa; Arthropoda; Insecta; Diptera; Tephritidae
Exons: 3
Source: RefSeq, a predicted model, not a curated record
UGCUGGUUAUUGUCGAUUAUAUUUUGAUUAGACUGUUUAGUCGGCAACGGUUGUUGAUUUGUGAUAUUCACAUCUUGAUUUUGUGUAUUAGAUAAACACGCACUUUUCGUUUUAUUUGUUAUGCACUCACUUGGGGAAGGGCAUAGGGGAGGAGAGCGAAUAGACGCCCGACGAGUAGCCUGACAGUCCUUGCACAAAUAUUUGUUGUUAGUGCUAAGUAAAAAUUCUAAAUCGCUUUGCAAAAUCCCAACACAACCUAAAUGGAAAAAUUCGCCGCACUUAGCGCAUUGAACUUUGGCAUUAACUUUGUUGCGAUCAACUCUCUGCCCACAAACACACGGCAUUUUACAGCUAAUAUGCAAAUUAUGCUUUGUAUUUCAAUAAAGGAGUCACUGUCUCUAUAACAUUUGUUUAUUAUUUAGAUUAUGAAUUUUUUAAACAAUGUAAUAUAUAUUACAUAAUAAGAAGUAAAAAGGCACGGAGCUCGAUGAAAACACGUCUAUACCGAAUGAGCAUACACACAUUUUCAACUGGCUUUUGGAGCGAAUAACUGACUUGGUAACGGGCAGACUCACAAGGUUAUCUUUGUGAACGAAUUUCUGAGUAAGAACUCAACAAAUACCCUCGAGCAAUCCCCGGGCUCAAGAGUGAUAGAAUAAAGAUUACGCGAAAAAUAAGAAUAACUUUGCCGUGACUUAAUUCUAGAUGAAGUGUGUCAAAGAACUUUGAGAGAGAUAGAGUGCCCAAAAAGCGAGGACUUUUAAACAAAGUUAGGUUAGGUUAAUGUGGUUCAGAAAAGAGUGCGAAAAAUGCUUUAAUAUUAGAUUGGCUUUUUAGCACAAGUGCAUUAUUUCGAAACCCACCUACUUUGAGGGCGAUGCAAUAAAUUUAAAUGAAUAACGAGUAUUGUGGGUCUUAAUAGUUGGAAUUCAAACUAUCAAUGUUUUUGACUUUCACAGCUAAAAUAAGAUCCAUAAUGUUUAAAAAAUUAAGUUUAUGGUUAGACAUUUACAAAGUUUGGUUGAAGAUGAACAUUUUUCCCAAAAAAUCUGCUCUGAUGAAGCUCCUUUACCCUCGGCACCAAUUGAAUUGUAUUUGGAGUGCGGGAUUUCUUAACGUCGUCAUUGAGAAGCCGAUGCAUUCACAAAACUUGCCGUGUGAGGUUGCCUGUCUCCCAUCGGUGGGAUAUGGGAACGCUCGGCAACUAUGUAUGCAGAGUAGUUGGGGAAAUAAAAUACCACUUGCGCACCAAAACGAGCAAGACCUGCUUGAGGUGUAGAUAGUUUUCAUCUAACACCAAGCUAGGAUAAGCGGGCUAGCAAUCUACUUAUUCGAAUCUAAGUUGCUAACGAAUCGUUGGACAGCCUGGACUCCACUAGGAGUUAAAGGAAAACAUACAUAUCUAUCAUAUAUUCCGUUUCAGCCCGCAUUGAAGAAAAGAGAAAGAAAUAAUUCGCGCACAAACGAAAUUCGCACAAUUACAUGAAGUUGAUGUGUUGUUUGCGUUCUCAGCUGCGAAAGAGAGCAGUUACUACGUAAUCGUUGCCGACGCAAAACCCUGCGGAUAUUCU